AUACGUAGGGUGCAAGCGUUAAUCGGAAUUACUGGGCGUAAAGCGUGCGCAGGCGGUUCGGAAAGAAGGAUGUGAAAUCCCAGGGCUCAACCUUGGAACUGCAUUCUUAACUACCGAACUAGAGUAUGUCAGAGGGGGGUAGAAUUCCGCGUGUAGCAGUGAAAUGCGUAGAUAUGCGGAGGAAUACCGAUGGCGAAGGCAGCCCCCUGGGAUAAUACUGACGCUCAUGCACGAAAGCGUGGGCAGCAAACAGGAUUAGAUACCCUGGUAGUCCACGCCCUAAACGAUGUCAACUAGCUGUUGGGCCCUUCGGGGCUUAGUAGCGUAGCUAACGCGUGAAGCUGACCGCCUGGGGAGUACGGUCGCAAGAUUAAAACUCAAAUGAAUUGGCGGGG
RNAcentral lists this ribosomal RNA (395 nucleotides) under uncultured bacterium. Its description in RNAcentral is "partial 16S ribosomal RNA". It matches the Rfam family "Bacterial small subunit ribosomal RNA", at positions 523 to 918 of the family's 1533-position model. The record is from RNAcentral.